GGGGCUAUAGCUCAGCUGGGAGAGCGCGUCGUUCGCAACGACGAGGCCGUCGGUUCGAUCCCGACUAGCUCCACCA
This 76-nucleotide transfer RNA is filed under the name Acidobacteriota bacterium. RNAcentral's name for it is "Acidobacteria bacterium (groundwater metagenome) tRNA-Ala". It matches the Rfam family "tRNA". From Rfam's summary of the family: Transfer RNA (tRNA) molecules are approximately 80 nucleotides in length. RNAcentral also lists the same sequence under 11 other names. The record is from RNAcentral. Lineage: Bacteria; Pseudomonadati; Acidobacteriota.